Long non-coding RNA from Gavialis gangeticus (Gharial), 157 nucleotides. RefSeq lists it as uncharacterized. The record is from RefSeq and is a predicted model, not a curated record. The transcript has 3 exons. NCBI's taxonomy places the organism in Eukaryota, Metazoa, Chordata, Crocodylia, Gavialidae.
CUAGACAGGCUACAGGGGUGGGCGGAUGAGAACAGGAUGGGUUUCAACACUGACAAGGGCAAGAUACUGCACCUGCGGAGGAAGAAUCAGCACCAUACCUACAGGCUGGGGAACUCCCUUCUCAUCAGUGCAGAGGCAGAAAAGGAUCUUAGAGUCA